Molecule: long non-coding RNA, 3171 nt
Organism: Lemur catta (Ring-tailed lemur)
Lineage: Eukaryota; Metazoa; Chordata; Mammalia; Primates; Lemuridae
Exons: 4
Source: RefSeq, a predicted model, not a curated record
CUGCAUCUUUCAAAGCAUUGGAGAGAGAUCACGGUUUUCGGAUUAAAAGCCACAGACUCCACUGCCUGAAGCAGAACAGGACAGACGCUCCCGUAGGACGCCGGACCUGCUUCUGACUCAUCCGUUCUGUGACCGUGAUCCACCAGGGGUGCCUGCAGCAGCCAGUCACCCUGACCAGGCCAGCACCUGCGUCCCCCGGUGCUGGGAGCUGAGCCCUUCUCCGGAGUGACCAGCAGCUGCCUCACCUGGUGGUGCAGGGAUUGCGCCGUCCCCAAGAGAUGAGGUUCAGCCGAUGAUGGACACCAUGCGAAAGGCCACAGCCUUGCUUCCAGGUGGGACACUGCCGUGGGGCUGUUCACAUUCUAGACCUCCCUGUGGCCUGAACCCACAUGCGCAUCAAGCUUCUCCCUGCACCCCUGAUAGAUUUCACCUGCGUGUGCCGUCUGGCUAGAACCGCACGAGAAUCCCCAGCUCAGGCUCUGCUUCCCAGGACACCAACCUAAGUGGCACAUCUUUCUCAUGUGGAUUUCCAAUCUAAGAAGAAAAUUCCACGCCAGGUUUCCAGAAGUUUCAACACUAGGAGAUUAAUCUCAAUGUGCAUGAGGCCUUUUCAGUUCCAUGGAAGACAAUUCCAAGUUUAAAAACUGGGCAAAGCCAUGAGGACUGUUUUUCCUGUGCAGAAAGGUUAAAGAAAAGCAGAUGUGGAAUGAGCUCCAAUCUCUUGUCUCACACUGUGCUGUUUGUCAGGGAAUGUUAACUCUUGAACACACGUGCACAAGAAUGUUGAAGAAGUAAUUGCAGCAGUCAUUAAACUUACCUGUCAUGUCUUUCUGUUAAUGGAAACAAGUGCACUAAAUCACCUGAGCACAGUUCUGACAAGCGACCUCCCUGGCCCCGUUCUCUGGUGUCUGCGGCACACGCUCUCUGGUCCAUUGUCUCUCAUCAGCGAUUUCCCUUUCUCUCUCCUCACACACUGUAAAGGUGGGUGUCCCCAGAUUUCUGUCCUUGGGCCUUUUGUUGUUUCCCCUUUAUAUUCUCCCCUGGUAACGUAUUUAAAGUGUGAGAGGAAACUAUCUGGAGUGAUUUUUCCAGAUCUUUCCAUUUCACUCGGGAGUGUGAAAUUUCUCAGGGUUCCCCACAAACCCAGCAGUGCCCUCACACAGAAUGAUCACACGGGAGGCCCACUCUCAUCAGUGAGCGCGACAGCAGGAAAUGCCACUGAGAUGAAAUGAUGUUUGCACGUAAUUCCCAGACCACCAUGUGACUACCCACCUGGUGUGUGGACAAAGCUUGUUCUCCACAGUUCACGUGCUGCCUGUUACGUGCGUAAGACAGUUGUUAGACACAUUUGGCCCAAGGAUGUGUGUUUCUAGCCUGUGUCAAGACUUCAAAUUACAAUUGACCCUUGAACAGCACAGGGUUGAACCAUGUGGGUCAACAUAUACACGGAUUUUCUUCUGCCUCUGCCCCCCCUGAGACAGCAAGACCAGCCCUUCCUCUUCCUGCUCCUCCUCCUCUGCCUACUCAACUGAAGAUAUGGGGAUGAAGACCUUUAAGAUGAUCCACUUCCACUUAAUGAACAAGGUCUGUACGUCCAAGCCUGCAGGAUGUACCUUGCGGCGCUUUCGGAGGUGACGCUGCUCCCUUCCUGGUCUGGGCUGGCCGCGGACGCGCUUUGGCCAGUGAGUGUGAAUGCAAGUGACACACGCACAUCCCAGCAGAAGCUUUACAUCAGUUGUGUGAUUUCACCUGGUCCGGUGAGUGUCUGCCCCUGGCACAGAAACGUCCAGAGGGGCCUGUUCCUCCAGCCUGGAUCCCGGAACGAGAAGCAUGAAGCGGACCUGCUGACCACGGCCUGGGGCAGAGCCGCAGCCAGCCAUGAAGAACCGGGAAGGCUCUCGCGCUUCACCUUCGUUCAAGCCAACGUACGAACUGGCCAGUUUCACGGACGCUGACAGAAGCCUCUUGGGUCAGAGACAAAAGACUUUAUUGCAGCAAAAGCGGUAGCCAGAACGUCAGCGGGGUUUGUGUUGCUUCUGUCCCCACAGCGGCGAAGUGAACCGGCCCAGGUGGCCGCCUGAACAAACUGUGGGUGCAUUACAGGAAAGGGACCCGGAGCUGGGAACCGACCGCUUCACAGCAAGUAGCGAGUGAGCCUGCCCUUGGCCGCAGCGGUGGAAGUCACCUUCUCCCUCCAGACUGCUCGCUGUGGGCACAGCCCUGAGCAAAGGCUGGGUGGGAAACGGGCAGGCUCUGGCUUGCUUAACACACCCAGCAACACGCGCAGGAACAUGCGACAGCCAUGCAGGAGUGUCCCCCAGCACCAACCCUCAGCCCACGCGCAACCUUAGCGAGAAAUAAAUGUAAGCCGCUGUGACAUGAGAGUGGUUUUGUUACACGGCAAAGUUACAGCUAGCACAGAGAAAAAUCAAUUGAUAUUUGUGUAUUUAUCUUACAUCUUGCCACCUUACCUAAUUCUCUUACUUUAAAAAAUAAUUCAAUACAGUUUCUUGGGUUUUCUAGGUAUAAUGUCUCCUGCAAAUAAAGUGAAUUUUCUUUUUUCCUAGUAUUUAUGUUAUUACUUAUAAUUUGGGUUUUCUUUAACCUUCUGUAUUAGCCUAAAUCUCCAAAACAAUUUUGAAUAAUAAUGAUGAUAGUAAAUAUGUCAUUUAUUAAGUUUUGUCUUAGUUACAAACCUACCCUUUGGUACUCUGCCUGGGCUGGAGCUCUGCAAACGUAUGUUUGCUUUGUAAGUUGGCUUCCCAUUAAACUCUGCUGAUAGCAGCACUCGGGGGGUGGGGAUCGCAGGCUGCAGAAGGAAGAGGGAAAUUAUCCUUUCCUGUUUGUUUUCUGAGGGCUUCCUGUUUGCUCCCUCUGUUUAAGAGAGGCAUCCCGCCAAUGCUGCUUCAUCUUGGCAGCAGCAAUUCCGUCCUAGCAACAGGUGAACCCAAUUAAUAGCGUUUCGAACAUUUGCAGAACCCUCCUCAUUGCAGCCCCCUCAGACACUAGCAGCAUCCUCUGCUCUGAGGUCUGAAUUUCGUUUCUAAGAGAGCCCUUCGCCAAGCUCCUAAGUUUCACAAAAUCCAACCUCUCUUCUUGAUCUCUUCCAAUCACAGCAAAUUAGCUGCUUUCUGCAGCUGCUCCGUCUGUGACCCCGAGUUCUCCUUUUGU